RNAcentral lists this long non-coding RNA (1011 nucleotides) under Callithrix jacchus (white-tufted-ear marmoset). RNAcentral's name for it is "lncRNA (ENSCJAG00000079290.1)". The record is from RNAcentral. Lineage: Eukaryota; Metazoa; Chordata; Mammalia; Primates; Cebidae.
CUGCUCAAGCCUACAUAAUAGACAGGUAAUAGAUAUUAAGUAAUAACUUUAAAAGUCUUGAUUCUGAAGUCAAAAUGUCUAUACCAGGAUUUAGUUUACACACCAAACUUUAUUCAGUUUCAGGUCUCCCCUCCCUCAUCUUGACAGCUGCAAAGGUGGUAGAUUCUUCUUUCUCCUACUGAUGCUUCCCUCCCCACUCCCCUGUACCUUCCAGGCAUUUUCUGAUCAGGUCAGAAAAUGAAAGCUUCAUGUACAAAUACUGAUCGGGGCUGACUUUGCACCCUGUGCCUGGCACAUAAAUAAGGCUUGCUCCUUCUCUUGUAGGUCCUGUCUUUGUUCUCUGGAGUUUCCGUCACCGAAAACCACUUUUGCUAUUGCUUUGAGCCUGGAAGGUAUAUCCUAUUUCAAGUGGAAAACCUUAGGAAUCUCAUGAUAAGCCUCAGCUUCUUACUGCUGUGUUUCUUCACUUUCUUAAGGGUGGCACCCAAGAUGGCCACAUGCCUGACCUUGAUCUUUCUCUAUUUCUAUGUAUCUGUUUAUCUCUGUAGGAACAAAUGUUGGGAUCAGAGGAAGGAUCCAUCACAGGGGUCUACACCCUGUCAUCAUUUCACGUUCUCAUCAUCAAGCACAACUCCUCCAUGUCGUUCAAAUGGUCUUCUGGAUUUUGCAGUUCUCUGCUUCAUUAGGACCAGGAACUUGUCUGAGCCCAGAGAGAGCCUGAGUGGUGACGUUCAAAGGGAGAAGAUAAGCCUGGACUUCUUGGAAAGGAUGUUAGAGGAAGACAAGAAUCAUAUUGAAUUUAUGGCCCAGGCAAAUUGCAUAUGACCUCAUCUUAACUUGAUGACAUCUACAAAGACUCCAUUUCCAGCUCACGGUGAAGGAACCCUGAGAGGACAGAGCUAUGUGAUGGAAUGAGCCAGGAUCCCUGAGUCCUCACCUAGAGAAGAGAUGUGCAGAAGAGCCACUCAACAGAUGGUGGUGUGCUGAUAAACAUUUAGUGACCCAUUUGGG